RNAcentral lists this ribosomal RNA (216 nucleotides) under Glomeromycotina sp. Its description in RNAcentral is "partial small subunit ribosomal RNA". The stretch from base 40 to 216 matches the Rfam family "Eukaryotic small subunit ribosomal RNA", at positions 686 to 864 of the family's 1831-position model. The record is from RNAcentral. Lineage: Eukaryota; Fungi; Glomeromycota.
GGGUCAGUAGGUUGGUCGUGCGACCGGUACGUACUGGUCUCACUGAUUCCUCCUUCCUGAAGAACCGUAAUGCCAUUAAUUUGGUGUUGCGGGGAAACAGGACUGUUACUUUGAAAAAAUUAGAGUGUUUAAAGCAAGCUAACGCUUGAAUACAUUAGCAUGGAAUAAUGAAAUAGGACGAUCGAUCCUAUUUUGUUGGUUUCUAGGAUUGACGUA